UGGGAGUUGUGGUCCAAAAGGUCUAAGGGAACUGUCGUGUAAAGUACAGGAGGGCGGAGACGUUUGACUCUUGCAAUUGGGUUGUUUCUGGUUGCAGUAAACGGAGCAAAGUGAAGGGGAGUGUUUUAAGGGCGGCUUUGUGAAGUAAAAAGAAACCAUGGUUUAAAAAAUAAUAACGCUAAGCCGUUAUGUGCCUUAAGUGUGCAAACCAGGCACGUCCAUUAAGUGUAGCAUUACUUGCGUGUCUUUAGCAUGCUGUACGAACGCUCCUCUUAGGCUGCUAACCAUGAUAACGUCAUUCAACAUGCGGUAUAUUUAUUUAUUGUAAAUUUAGACAGAUUUAUUGCCUAUUAGAAAUAGGUUAUUAUCUGUUUGUUUGGAUUUAUUUAUAUAUUGGUUUGUUAACAUUAGUUGCCCAACUGCAAUGGGCCAGAUGGAGCUCAAGUGGUCAUCUCUGUGUUUCUGUAUGCUGAUAGAAACAGGACUGCAGGUAUCCAGGGCAGCAAUUGUUCAAAAACGUACUUGAAACUGAACAAUCUUCUAUGAAAUAUAACCAUGUCCUUCUUGCUGUGGUAACUCAACAAUUACAGAAAUAGGUGAGUUUGGGCCCAGAAAAUAUCUUAAGGUGGCUGUCUCCUUGAAGUGGGGUGAGGGCUUUCAUAUCUGGAUUGCAAAAACCCAAACAACCAUUCAGUGGAAAGACGGAGAUAGAUUUUUCUGUACUGUUUGCCUUUGCUGCUAUUUGGAGUUUUGCAGCCUACAUGUAGUAGCUAUACCGUAUAGAUUUCAUGUGGGAACAGUGGAGUUUUUUCAUUUAUUAGGGUACUUAAGACUCCAGUUAUACUCAACCGAACACCUAUGAAUAAAUGCAAAUCUUACAAAAUGCCACACAUCCUUCUCCCCGAUGAAAGAAAUCUUUGUUAAAUUCUGUGUCUUUGGUUCUUUUCAGUGUAGAGAGUGAUGCCCACAGCCUUUGGAAUACGAAGUAUGUGCAUUACCAAGGAGCUAUGAUUUGUUUUCUAGAAUCAUCCCUCUUAUUUUAAAUGAAGGUUCCGAAAAACAGAAUACCCUUUUCCCAAGGCCAAGUUUCAAACAAACCAUCUGCCAAAUCAAAUGAAAUUUUUAUUAUGGCCAAAACUAGCACAAGAAGGGUGAUUUACAGUCAAUUAGAAAAAAAAUAAAGAGACACCAGAGUCUUAAAAAAUAUGAAAAGCCCAAUGUCUUUCUUAUUCUGUAUAUUUAUGGUAAAAAAACAAACCAUGGCAGCAUGAUGAACAAACCUUGGCUUUCUAUCCAUUGGUUUGAAAAGCAAUUCUCUUUCUGGUGAAACAUAUAUUCAUCCACAUAAGAACUGUUUUUUUAAAUGAAGAAAAUAUUUAUUAUCAUUAGGAUUGAAAAGUGAAGUGUGUUGGAGGGGAUUUGGGCACAAACCAAUUCUAAAAUAACCUCAAUAAAACUAAGAUGCAGGGAAAGAAAAUAAUAAAGAGUUUGUUCAGGAAACAAUUACUGUUCUGAAACCAGCUUUGCCACUGGUUGUCUCUAGUUGGAGAGUGAUGAUUUGAUUACUGUAUCUGAAGAUGCUAUUCAAGGAGAUGGGCUGGAAUAUGGAUUUGUAAAAGACCUUUUAUUUCUUUGAAGAUACAAAGUCAGAGGAAUUAAAGUCAUUAGACAUUUGCUGUAUUGUGGGACUACAGGCAUAAAAAAACCCAGCGUUUUCCUAAAUUAAUACUGCACAUUGGACAGGUGAGUUCAUCUUCAGAUUCUUUGUCUGCUUAUCCAGACACCACUGCAGAGAUUUAAUUCUGUCUGAAACACAUUCACACCUAGAAAUAUGUUUACUUGCUCCUUUCCAUGUAAGAUACAUGAGAAAAGAUGCUAAACAAAAAAAUUCAAAAGCAAAUUGUAUGUGGGUUGAAAAUGCUCUGUCUGGUGUCUAUUUACAGUCAGACCUGCUAAUUAAGGAAGCCCUAUUAAGUGCCUAUCACAGAAAUAAAUUACAGUACAAUCUGCUACGGACACACACCCUCUUGCUAUCUUUGUCAACAAAAGGAAGGAUAACAUACAUGACAUGAAACAACCACAACAUUUAUGCAUUGAAGCUGAAAAAUCUUUGUAAAUGCAUACAUUUGAAAUGCAAUAAAGCUUGCAAGUUCCAAAGCUAAGGACAUAAUGUAAUAAUUUAUUUGGAAUAUAUAUUAAAGUUGAACCUAUUCAGAUACAAAUGCAGGAGAGAGUGUGGGCAGGGGGUGGGGAUUGGAGGGAAUCACAGACCCAAUUCUGAGAUGUUAGAAACUCUUUGAAAGCUGCCAUGCCCAGCCCAGAGCUUCUUUCCUGCCUUGCUGCCUCUUAUCUAAGUGUGCACUCAAAUGCAAUCCUUUCCCCAUACCAUUCAGCUGAAUUUGGAAAGCUGAUAAUGUGCUUUUUCUGAUUCAUGGCUGGCUGGGGAAUUCUGGGAGUUGAAGUUCACCCAUCUUAAAAUUGCCAAGGUUGAGAAACACUGUUCUACAUGUCUUCUCAAAAAUAAUCUUGGAGAGCUUAGUGGAUAUUGGCUUCUCUUUGAAGAAAAGGAAGAAAUGGAUUCAAGAUAUACAAGUAAUAUGUUUUCAGAAUCAGGAAUUUUAACAUGACAUUCAAAAACAAAUGUCAAUUUUGAGAAUAAGGGCAAUUCCAUACCACAUUUUUUUCUCCCACAUCCAAAGAAAUAGACAUUAACUUGCAAACUUUGUAAUAUCUGCCCAUCAUAAAAUCAGAUUACAGGCAAAAAAUAUAAGAAAAAAAGGCAAAAAGGUAGGAAGAAAGGAAGGGGAAGAGAAAGAAAGGAAGGAAGGAACAAAAGGAAGGAAAAAUGAAUGAAUGAAUGAAAGAAAGAAAGAAAGAAAAAGAAAGAAAGGAAAAAGAAAGAAAGAAAGAAAAUUCAACAAGUGCCCCAUCUUAAGAUACUGCAAUUUUGGAGCAAUGAAAACUGUAUCUCUCCUUAUGUCUUCCCUCCCACCACCAUUCACCUUGGAAAAAGCAUUUGCAAAAAAUAAAGAUCAGUUUUAAAGACUCUUGCUAUUUAUAAUGCUGAAAGGAUAGCAUGCAAACAGUUUUGCAAUCAAUCAUUCCCAUCCAUCUCACUAAUAACUAUAGUCAUGAUUGCAUACUGCUGGAAAGGAAGAGAAAAAAAAUCUAGGCUGCAGGACAGACAAGUUGCUGGGGAGAGGCUGAGGAGAGAGAGGAUGAAAGGAAAAUUUAUGGAACAAUAAAAACUAGCAGGCAUCUGACAAACGAGAAAAAA
This is a long non-coding RNA of Crotalus tigris (Tiger rattlesnake), 3277 nucleotides long. RefSeq lists it as uncharacterized. Lineage: Eukaryota; Metazoa; Chordata; Lepidosauria; Squamata; Viperidae. The transcript has 2 exons. The record is from RefSeq and is a predicted model, not a curated record.